This 556-nucleotide ribosomal RNA is filed under the name Salmonella enterica. Its description in RNAcentral is "bacterial SSU rRNA". It matches the Rfam family "Bacterial small subunit ribosomal RNA", at positions 229 to 777 of the family's 1533-position model. The record is from RNAcentral. Lineage: Bacteria; Pseudomonadati; Pseudomonadota; Gammaproteobacteria; Enterobacterales; Enterobacteriaceae. RNAcentral also lists the same sequence under 1 other name.
GCCCAGAUGGGAUUAGCUUGUUGGUGAGGUAACGGCUCACCAAGGCGACGAUCCCUAGCUGGUCUGAGAGGAUGACCAGCCACACUGGAACUGAGACACGGUCCAGACUCCUACGGGAGGCAGCAGUGGGGAAUAUUGCACAAUGGGCGCAAGCCUGAUGCAGCCAUGCCGCGUGUAUGAAGAAGGCCUUCGGGUUGUAAAGUACUUUCAGCGGGGAGGAAGGUGUUGUGGUUAAUAACCGCAGCAAUUGACGUUACCCGCAGAAGAAGCACCGGCUAACUCCGUGCCAGCAGCCGCGGUAAUACGGAGGGUGCAAGCGUUAAUCGGAAUUACUGGGCGUAAAGCGCACGCAGGCGGUCUGUCAAGUCGGAUGUGAAAUCCCCGGGCUCAACCUGGGAACUGCAUUCGAAACUGGCAGGCUUGAGUCUUGUAGAGGGGGGUAGAAUUCCAGGUGUAGCGGUGAAAUGCGUAGAGAUCUGGAGGAAUACCGGUGGCGAAGGCGGCCCCCUGGACAAAGACUGACGCUCAGGUGCGAAAGCGUGGGGAGCAAACAGGA